GAUGAAGAACGCAGCGAAACGCGAUAGUUAAUGUGAAUUGCAGAAUUCAGUGAAUCAUCGAGUCUUUGAACGCACAUUGCGCCCAUUGGUAUUCCGUUGGGCAUGUCUGUUUGAGCGUCAUUACAACAGUUCAGCGUAAGCUGGUUAUGAGUUCUGUUUUUUUAAACAAAAAACAGGCUUUAAAAUGUAUGUUCUGCAGGUCGCUUUGCUAAACCCUAAACAUUAAAUACUGUUCUAGUGAAGCAUUUGCGACUCUGCCUGAAAAAAAACUUUUGUUAAAGUUUGACCUCAGAUCAGACAAGGAUACCCGCUGAACUUAAGCAUAUCAAUAAGCGGAGGA
RNAcentral lists this unclassified non-coding RNA (340 nucleotides) under soil metagenome. RNAcentral describes it as "partial contains 5.8S ribosomal RNA, internal transcribed spacer 2, and large subunit ribosomal RNA". The stretch from base 1 to 120 matches the Rfam family "5.8S ribosomal RNA", at positions 35 to 154 of the family's 154-position model. The record is from RNAcentral.